Molecule: ribosomal RNA, 520 nt
Filed under: uncultured Glomeromycotina
Lineage: Eukaryota; Fungi; Glomeromycota
Description: SSU rRNA
Rfam family: Eukaryotic small subunit ribosomal RNA
Source: RNAcentral
AGCAGCCGCGGUAAUUCCAGCUCCAAUAGCGUAUAUUAAAGUUGUUGCAGUUAAAAAGCUCGUAGUUGAAUUUCGGGGCCAGUAGGUUGGUCGUGCCACUGGUAUGCACUGGUCUCACUGGUCCCUCCUUCUUGUAGAACCGUGAUGGCAUUAAUUUGUUGUUGCGGGGAAACAGGACUGUUACUUUGAAAAAUUAGAGUGCUUAAAGCAGGCUCGCGCUUGAAUACAUUAGCAUGGAAUAACGGAAUAGGACGAUCGAACCUAUUUUGUUGGUUUCUAGGAUCGACGUAAUGAUUAAUAGGGAUAGUUGGGGGCAUUAGUAUUCAAUUGUCAGAGGUGAAAUUCUUGGAUUUAUUGAAGACUAACUACUGCGAAAGCAUUUGCCAAGGAUGUUUUCAUUAAUCAAGAACGAAAGUUAGGGGAUCGAAGACGAUCAGAUACCGUCGUAGUCUUAACCAUAAACUAUGCCGACUAGGGAUCGGAUGAAGUUAAUUUUUUAAUGACUCAUUCGGCGCCUUAC